RNAcentral lists this ribosomal RNA (253 nucleotides) under uncultured bacterium. Its description in RNAcentral is "partial 16S ribosomal RNA". It matches the Rfam family "Bacterial small subunit ribosomal RNA", at positions 524 to 776 of the family's 1533-position model. The record is from RNAcentral.
UACAGAGGUCGCGAGCGUUAAUCGGAUUUACUGGGCGUAAAGCGUGUGUAGGUGGUUGUUCAAGUCGGUUGUGAAAUCCCCGGGCUCAACCUGGGAAUUGCAUCUGUGACUGCAUAGCUAGAGUACGGUAGAGGGGGAUGGAAUUCCGCGUGUAGCAGUGAAAUGCGUAGAUAUGCGGAGGAACACCGAUGGCGAAGGCAAUCCCCUGGACCUGUACUGACGCUCAUGCACGAAGGCGUGGGGAGCAAACAGG